UGCAUUUAUGUGCAUAUCUACAGAUUUGAAAUUAAGUUCAGGAUCUCCAAUGUGUAAGCAGUGAAAAGAAUCUAUGCAUCCAAGAAGUAUCCAGUUGCUGUGACCAAGUCUUCCUUUCCUCCAGGACCAGCAGGAGGCCUUUCUUAAACUCUAUUCUCCUAUCAAGUAUAAGCUGUUCCCAAACAUCAAAGAGGUCUACCAAGCAUUCUUUGGUUUGUUUGCUUGUUUACUUGAAAGCAAAACAUUAAAAACUUGAGAUGAAAGCAUGCCAUUCUAAAACAUAUUUGGCUCAAAGAAAAAGAUGCUUCCCAGGACUACAAAAGAUCCUUCUUUAAUGAAACUUUAAACUUUGCUUUAAUUUGGAUCACAAUGAAGAAAAUAAGGACUUUUCAUCUUGCCCCUUGUGGAAAGUAUCAGUGUCUCCCAUG
This 428-nucleotide long non-coding RNA is filed under the name Macaca mulatta (Rhesus monkey). RNAcentral's name for it is "lncRNA (ENSMMUG00000057307.1)". Lineage: Eukaryota; Metazoa; Chordata; Mammalia; Primates; Cercopithecidae. The record is from RNAcentral.